This is a non-coding RNA of Equus caballus (horse), 589 nucleotides long. NCBI's taxonomy places the organism in Eukaryota, Metazoa, Chordata, Mammalia, Perissodactyla, Equidae. The record is from RefSeq and is a predicted model, not a curated record.
CAGCAGUCUAGGCAGGUCUAGGCAGAGGGAACAGAAUGAACCAGAACAUUGAAAUAGCAUGAAUUGACUUGUCAAUUUCCAAGGACAGCGACCAGGCUCCUGUUCCCAGGCUUGGAGUGAAGUGGUUAGAGUCAGGGUCUGCUCUCCCAAAGCCUAAGCUGUGGCAGCAUGGCCUCAUUUGCUGUAAGAUAUCUAUGGACUGUGGUUAGGGAUGAAGAUCACAAAGGAUCACAUUAAAACGACCUCUAGUUUCUCACUGAAAACGCCUGAUGCAGUUGGACGAUGCAGAUAUGUCUUCAAAGUUCCAAAAGAUGGUGGAAUUUGAAAAUUUGAAUACCCAUGUUAACUGGACAAAAUCAGGUGGAAAAAAAUUGACUAUGCAUGGCUGGAGUGUGUCUGGUGUGUGGAAUUGUGAUCGUGCAGCAGAGAGUGCCCUGGACAUAAGACUUUUGAUUUUCUCCAGAAGCUGAUGUGUACCACAUCUGCUAAUCGGCUCCAAGUCUGCUUCUAAGGAAAAGCUCAGCUACUUCAUGUUUCUCCCAUGUAAUUCUGGGCUGAUUAACAAGGAAAGAGACAAGAAAGAAGGGAG